This 391-nucleotide unclassified non-coding RNA is filed under the name soil metagenome. RNAcentral describes it as "partial contains 5.8S ribosomal RNA, internal transcribed spacer 2, and large subunit ribosomal RNA". The stretch from base 1 to 122 matches the Rfam family "5.8S ribosomal RNA", at positions 35 to 154 of the family's 154-position model. The record is from RNAcentral.
GAUGAAGAACGUAGCGAAAUGCGAUACUUGGUGUGAAUUGCAGAAUCCCGUGAACCAUCGAGUCUUUGAACGCAAGUUGCGCCCGAAGCCAUUAGGCCGAGGGCACGCCUGCCUGGGCGUCACACGUCGUUGCCCCCCCAUCUACUCCUUCGGGAUUGCGGGGGGCGGAUGAUGGCCUCCCGUGCGCCUCGUCGCGCGGUUGGCAUAAAUGCCAAGUCCUCGGCGACGCACGCCACGACAAUCGGUGGUUGCGAAACCUCGGUUGCCCGUCGUGUGCGGUCGUCGCGCAUCGAGGGCUCGAAAAAAUUGCCGGGCUCGGUUUCGGCUUUCAACGCGACCCCAGGUCAGGCGGGGUUACCCGCUGAAUUUAAGCAUAUCAAUAAGCGGAGGA